Molecule: long non-coding RNA, 510 nt
Organism: Sander lucioperca (pikeperch)
Lineage: Eukaryota; Metazoa; Chordata; Actinopteri; Perciformes; Percidae
Exons: 3
Source: RefSeq, a predicted model, not a curated record
UAAAUCCCUUUAAUUUAAGUACCUAGUCCUGAUUUGAAAUUAGAUAUAGGCUGCAAAGAGGUAAAAUAGACCCCAAGUAUAGUCCAGCUGUUGGUUUUACGGUUGUGGAUUCAUAUUUUGACUGGAAGAAAUAUUUUACUCUACAUGGUUCCAAGUUUUUACAAUGCACUGCAUAUUGUAUUGUAUUAAGGAUAACUGCCAACUCCUACAAAAUAGUUUCUACUAGGAAAUGACAAAGACUGGGAAAUCAGAUGCCUACCUGGCAGGUGUGAUGUCCCUGUAUGCCAGGGAAAGUACAAAUUUUCAACUGGCAAGAAGCCUGAGGCCAGGAGAUGGAGGGCAGUAAUGCAGAAGAUUGCUGAUUGUCCUCUGACCCCGGAAAGGUCAAACUACUGUCCCCAAACAAGACAUAUUUGGGAAAAGGAUCCCCCUGCAAGUGUGGAUACCACCAGUCAGCAGAGAAGGCAUUGACAGCAGCAUCCAGUGCAGGUCAGCUGAGUGCUCCACAGG